Molecule: long non-coding RNA, 302 nt
Filed under: Crocodylus porosus (Australian saltwater crocodile)
Lineage: Eukaryota; Metazoa; Chordata; Crocodylia; Crocodylidae
Description: lncRNA (ENSCPRG00005006764.1)
Source: RNAcentral
UGUAGAAAUUGGCGAUCAAACCUGCCAGUUAGCUACUAUCGGCAUUUGAAUAGUGUGGGGAAUCGACAGAUCAGGGGCCUCUCUCUGCACGCCAUAACAGGAAUUCAAGAUCACACAACCAGCAGCUUCACUGGAGAAAAACUAUUUUACUGGCAACUCUUUUUAAAGCACCAUCAUUUCAAAUCAGGGCGCUCUUAAACUAUUGACAGGAGCUUUGACAACAAGACAGGAUGCCUCAUAAAGAGGGAAGACUUUAACUAGUGACACGCAGAUGUGUGAGUCCUUAAAUUGUAAGCGAGGAC